AAAGGCACAGGUCAGCAGU
RNAcentral lists this non-coding RNA (19 nucleotides) under Mus musculus (house mouse). The record is from RNAcentral. Lineage: Eukaryota; Metazoa; Chordata; Mammalia; Rodentia; Muridae.